AAAGUGUGUACGCAGACCUUACCCCUACCCUUGAGUAGAGAUGCUGUUUUCAAAUAGACCACCGACAUCCUUCCCUCCAACAAAUUCACAAUUGACAGCCUUUAGACAAAAAGAAAACACCUUAUCCAUCUGAGAACAAGCGCCGCAGGGACCGAAAAAGAAGGGAAUCCCUUUUUCUUCAACACCCAAAAGGACACAAAUGUUGCUCCUUCUUCAUCCACACAUCAGACCAUCUUCAUCAUCUGCAAAGAUCAAAUCCGCCAACCUUUCCCCAUUUUCGAACCAAAACGGCACGCUGCCGAGCUUCCCCUUUCAAAAAGCAAUCAGCCUGCUUCAGCCAUGAAAGACUAUGACUCCAGCUCAGGAAAUGGGCAAUGGAAAGGCUCCAUAUACAGUCUAUAAAUAUCCUCUAAACCCUUCUGAAACAGACCCUAAUGAAUCCCAAAAUUUCAUAUCCUGAUCUGAAGAAGGGAAAAUAGAAAACCAAAAAAUAUAAAACAAAAAAUUAAAGGUGGAGGUUUGAAGUCGCUGCUCUUCUGCUGUUGCUAAGGAAAUGACUGAGCUCUAAUUGUAGCAGUUAUUUUCAGCUUUGGUAAGGAUUUUGUUCACGUUGCAUUUUAUUUAAGAGGUAAACUCAGAAAACUCUAUUGUAUCUUGCUAUAUUUUAUUAAUGAUUGGACUCCUCUUUCCUGCUCGAGAUCUGUCUAAAUGUUAAUUCUGUGUUGUUUGACUGUUAAAUGAUUUGAAGAGUUUAUUGUUGGAGAAAUUCUAUGUAUCUGGAAUUCAGGAAUGAAAUUGAUAUGGAUUCUUUCUUCUUCCCUUUGAUUCGUUAUCGAGGUAUAGUUGUAAUAGUCGUUUAUGUGGUCUUUGAGUACGGAAAAUGGGUGUUUCUAUUUUGAACUGAAAAUUGAUCUGUUGGUGUUUGUUUCUUCUUUGUCGAUUACGGUUUACGAUGGAUUAAUAUAAUAUAAUCAUGUUGCAACUUUGAUGUGUAUGACAAGUAGCUUCAGAAAAUCUAAAGAUAACAGACUCCUUUGUAUAUAAGCAUAAGCAGGUACAUUAGUUCUGUUGGUAUGUGUCCAUAACCUUUUAUCUUAUUCUACUUAUGUUUCCAUAAAUAAUUGAGGCGAGUAAUGCCAAAUAAACUCUCAAAACUCAUGACCCUCACUUAAUUAAUCUUAACUCUUUAGAAAUUGAGGUCGUUAGUGAAUUUUCCAUGGCCCUCUAAAUUAAAAAAUGCGUAGUUGCUUUAGGCGCGUUGUUUUAUAAUAUACCUGCCUAAACUCGGGCGUGCAUUUCAUGUGACCCAAAUCCAAAUCCUAAAACGUUGAAUAAAAUAUGUCUUGGAUUGCGGGUGUAUUUCAUGUGACGCGAUCCAAAAACAUACUUUAGACAAUGUUCAAUUUUCUUUAAAAUAUAUUAAAAGCGGUAAAAAAUAGUUUAAAAUUGCACCAUAGGCUAAAACAUGUAUAAAAAUUGAAUAAUAGGCCAACUGUAAUAGUUUAAGUGGUCGUGCUAGAACCACGGAAUCCGAGGAUGCCUAACACCUUCCCUCAGGUUAACAGAAUUCCUUAUUCAGAAUUUCUAGUUCGCAGAUUUCAAAAGGAAAAAAUCAUACUCAAUUUGGGAUUUAAAAAUAAAUUGGUGACUUGAGACACCAAAUAAACUAUCUUAAGUGGCAACUCUGAAAAUAAAAAUAAAAAAAUAAUCUCAUUUCGAAUAAUGUCACUUUAAUUGGAAAAACUCCCUUUUACGUUUAUCCUUUGGGGGUAUUCGUGUAAAAGGAGGUGUGACGGAGAGCAUCCAACCUGGUUAUGAGGUAGGUGGUGAAGGCCUGCGGGUAAUGCCUCAAUUUUUGAGCAACCCAAGUUAGAGCACAGCAGGUUCUUUCCAGCAAAGUGUACUUGGCCUCAUAGCUUGUGAAUUUCUUACUUAGGUAGUAUAUUGCCUGCUCUUUCUUUCCAGUGAUGUCGUGUUGCCCCAGAACGCAACUGAAGGAACUUUCCAAGUCUGUCAGGUACAGAAACAGUGGCCUCCCUGGCUCAGGUGGAACCAAAACUGAUGAGUUGGACAAGUGGUCUUUAAUUUUAUCGAAAUCCUUUUGACAGUCAUCCGUCCAUUUGAUCGCUGCAUCUUUCCUUAGCAAUUUGAAUAUGGGCUCACAUGUGGAAGUCAGUUGAGCGAUGAAUCGACUAAUAUAAUUCAAUCUUUCCAACAAGCUCAUUACGUCUUUUUUGGUCUUUGGAGGAGGUAAAUCUCAAAUAGACUUUAUCUUAGUCGGAUCUAGCUCAAUAUCUCUCCGGCUGACUAUGAAUCCUAGAAGUUUGCCUAACGGGACCCCGAACGCACAUUUCGCUGGGAUCAAUUUCAAAUCAUAUAUGUGCAUCUGUUCGAAGAACUUUCGUAGAUCCCGCACAUGUUCAUCCUAAGUUUUGGACUUGAUGAUCACGUCGUCCACAUACACCUCUAUUUCCUGAUACAUCAUAUCAUGGAAGAUGGUAGUCAUGGCUCUCCUAUAGAUUGCUCCAGCGUUCUUCAGUCUGAAAGGCAUUACCCUGUAGUAGUAGGUUCCCCAAGGUGUGGCAAAGGUGGUUUUCUCUGCGUCCUCUUCAUCCAUAAACACCUGGUGAUAUCCUGCGUAACUUGGCGCAACUAUCAAUAAGGAUGCGGAUUUUAGGAAAUGGAAAGUUGUCUUUGGGGCUUGGUUUGUUCAAAUCUCUAUUGCAGAGACUUUCCCAACCCUUUUCCUGGCUUAUAUCCAUGUCGUAUCAUCUCCCUGGCCACCAUAAUGGAUGCAUUAGAAAGGAGGUUGGGGGCAGGGUUUUCCCUCUUCAUAAUGGUCGGCUACCAUAACUUCAAAGGCCUAAUACACUAUGUGCUCACUGCCUUCCUUCGCUUCAAGGCGUGGGGCAGACGGAUCUCGAUAGAUUGAUUGUUCAUCCUCUCCAUGGACUACGAUCUCCUGAUCUUCAUGCUCAAAUUCAACAAUUUGAUGGAGAGUAGAGGGAACAACUCCUGCUGUAUGAAUCUAAGGCCUCCCCAGAAGGUAGUUGUAAGAUGUAUCCAUGUCCAGCACUUGGAAGGUUACCUCAAAGUCCACUAGUUUAAUGGUCAAAAUCAGAUCGAUUUCCCCAAUUGUGUCCCUCUUAAUACCAUCUAAAGCUCGCACACAGACAUUGUUGGGACGAAUCCUUCCAGUCCCAAUUUCCAUCCACUGGAGUGUAGAGAGUGGGAAAAUGUCUAUCACCGAACCCCCGUCUACCAUGACCCUCUUCACAUAAUAUCCGUCACAUUUGACAUUUAAAUGCAACACUUUGUUGUGAGCAGCCCCUUCCUGGGGAAAGUUAGUUUCACUGAAUGAAAUUUGAUUGAUGGCAAAAAAUCUUUCUGCCAUCCUUUCUAACUGCUCCAUUGAAGUUUCAGCUGGCACAUAGGCUUCAUUCAAGGUCUUCAUUAAAACCUUAUGGUGUUCGGAAGACUUCAUCAGCAUAGACAGCAAGGACACUUGUUCAGGAUACUUUCACAGUUGAUCAACCACUUCAUAGUCCGCCAUCUUCAUUUUCUUAAAGAAAGUUUCUUGCUCUUCAGGACUUCCAAGUUUCUUAGACGGGAAACGCUUUCUAGUGGCAUUGUUUACUUCUUCCACGUUGGAGUAUUUCUCAACGGGAUGGUUUUCUUGAAGCUCCCCUGAGAUCUCUUUGCCUUGUACGUAGCCAUUAUUUUAUGAUAAUUCCACGGUACUGCAGUACGAUCUAUCAUAGGCUGUUGUGCCGCGCGUCCAAUAACCAUGGGCUCGUUCGGCCUUGAUGGCUUUAUUGUCUCUUGUACCACAUAAGCUCCAUUGGGUAAGUACAUUUGGGUGGCCUUCUUCAGUUCAAGCCUCUUUGGAGGGCUCAAAGUCAGCUAUUUUUCUUUACGGCCUCGUGGGACAUAAAGAAUCCCAUCUUUGGGAGGCAUCACCUCUGUGCUUGUUUCAACUUUCUUUUCUGGUUCUGUCUUGGUGACUUUGUUCUUCUUGCUCCAAUUGAUGUGCGCAGAGGCAUCACCUCUGUGCUUGUUUCAACUUUCUUUUCUGGUUCUGUCUUGGUGACUUUGUUCUUCUUUUCCUCUUUAUCUUGUUUUGGGGCGCUUUUUGGCUUUGUCUCUGCAUCUGUGAUGGCAAUUAUGGCUUUUAGUGCCGGAUCAAAUUCUUUAUCUUCACAAAUCAUCCCAAUCACUGGCCCGUUGUUGUGGGUUGGCAAUAGAUUAUUAAUCACGUUGGGGACAUCCUCAUCACUUAGAACUAAUUUGCCUUUCUCUGUCAAGUUUUCCACCGCUCUUUCUAGGGUCCAACAAUCAUUUGUAUUGUUCCCUUCUGCUCUUGAAUGAUAGGCAUAUCUGGCACCAGCUUUCUAAGCGCGCGAUGCUGGGUUUUACCUUGUUUGAGGAACUAGUUGCAACAGGACCAUUUGGACAAGUUUUGGAAAUAGAUUGGAGUAAGACUCACCAAUUGGAGUAAACGUUUGCCUACUGGGUGAAUCACGGGGAGGAAAAUUAUUCUAUGGAGGACGGGGAUUAUUGUGAUUCUGUGGAGGAGGCUAAUUUCUUGGAUAUGGAGCUUGGUUUUUAUUGGCAUGUUAUUGCGUUCGUACAAAAGGUUGAGCAUUCAUGACCGCAUAUGGUUGAGGAGCAUAAGCCAUGUCUUGAUGAGGGUAAUAAUGCUGAGGGGAUCUGUCUGAGAACAUGGGUCUAGGAGCGCGGUGUCUCCUUGCACCCGAGGCCGACAUGGCUGUUUCUUCUUUUUUCUUACCUUUCAUCACUCCUCCAGACCCGCCUUGGAUGGCUUGGGAGGUUGCUCAAAUAGCUGAUUGGCUCAAAAUUCUUCCUAUUUUCAGUCCAUUCUCUACCAUCUCACCAAUUUUAAUAGCCUUGCCCCAUGGCUGACAUCAUAUUCUGGAAAUAAUCAGCCUCCUGAGCUUGAAGAAAUACAGUGACAUUUCCAUUUCAUCCAUUGGGGGUUUCACCCUUGACGCAUGUUCACGCCAUUUGAUUGCAUACUCCCGAAAACUUUCUGAUGGCUUAUUCUUUAGAUUUUCCAGCGAGUUUCGAUCUGGAGCAAUAUCGAUAAUGUACUGGAACUAUUGAACAAAGUCUCUUGCAAGAUCAUCCCAGAUGUGCCACCGAUAAAUAUCCUGAUCCAUGUACCACUCGGAGGCGAUACCCACCAAACAUUCCCCAAAAUCAGCCAUGAGCAAUUCUUCUUUUCCUCCAGCUCCGCGCAACUGAUUACAGUAUUUCUUAGGAUAGGCAGUAGGGUCACCAUGCCCAUCGUACUUUUCAAAUGUUGGAGUUUUGAAUCGCACAGGAAAUUGCACGUGAGAGAACAACACAAAUCAGUAUAUGACACACUUUUCUGUCCACUUAGCCCCUACAUGUUUUUGAGGCUUUACUCUAGGCUUCUUAUCCUCUUUUCCAUUUCUUCCUCUUUCGGAGUUUAUGGAGUCUUUAUCUGUCCCGUUGUGAACUCAAAUGGAUGUGGCUGCGAAUAAGUAUAGGCGGGACACAGAAUAGGCUCCAUUUGAGGGGUGAGUGUUUGGAACGCAAAAGGUUGAAGGAUCAAAGGUAGGCCUUGGCAAUGCAGGCUGUGUUGUAGCUGCACAUAGUGGAGCAAUAAAGAUGUUUGGGACUGCAUUGGGUAUAGCCAUCGGGGGGCGAACCUCUGAAGGUGUUCCCACAAAAUGAGCUGAGAUGGUUAGGUGUCCUAGUGGGAUGCUGGGAUGACUGAUUGGGACAGUGGAUGUUCCCCCCAUUCUUGGGAAAAGCUCGAAAAAUCCAGGAAUUGCACUAGGCGGCUCUUUGCCAUUUGACUAGGCAUCUCACAUCUCCAUCAUGUGGAGAUGCAAUAACCAAUUUUCCUCGGCGGUUGCUGACUCUGAUGCCAGGAUGCCAGAGAUUGGGCAUUCGUCUGUCAUGGGAAUUGAUGGCAAAGUGAUUUCUGAAGACAUUUCUAUGCUACCCUUUGAUCUGGUGAGUAGGGCUGUGAAGCCAGUUUACCAAAAAACCAACCACCAUUUCUAUAAAACCUAGACUAGACGUGACAUAAGCAAACAAUUAGUUUGAGACAAAUAACAGAUAGGUAAUUUCACAUUGGGGGUGUGAUGCACCUAUACAGUUAAUUGGGUUUCUACAUGUUUUGCAAUGAUUGCAUGCCUCAUCCCGGCUUUCCUCAUCCACUUGAUUUCCACUCUCGUUUCUUUUCUUUUCUUUUAGUCUUUACUUUUCUUUUGCCAUCAUCUAUUUCUCUCGAUCUUCUUAUUUUCACUCUCUUUUGUUUCUUUUCCACUUUUGCUUUCUUUUAUUUUCUUUCCUCUCUUUUCUUUUUCUUUUCUCUUAGGGUUACUGUCGAAUCUAUGGAGAUUGCUUACGUAUCAUGACCCGCAUGAAUCAGACCAAGUAUAGUUCGUGAAAAAUAAAUGUAAAUAGAAGAAAAAUGUUUUGAGACUUUUGAUUUUCAUAGAUAGCAAAUACUUUGAUUACAAAGAUUCAACGCUGACAGAUUAAAACAGCUAAUAGGCUAUGAUGAAAAGGAAAUACAGACUCCAAAAUCAACUAUCCUACUUCAAAAGAAAAUACAGACUCAAACAACCGACGGACUCUAGAAGAAAAGGAAAUAUAGACUCAAAUGAAAAUCAUGAAUACAUUAAAGCUGCUGGUGCAUGCGGGACAUUGUUCGGUCUCACUGUGGGCCUAUAUGCAAUAUCCUUUAGAAGUCUAUCCAAGUCGCUCAUUAUCUGUUUAACAAAUAUCAUUACUGCCGCAAAAAAAGGUGGUGCGAGUCAUGUUCUCGCACAUUUGGCAUUUCCUAGUAAUAUAGUGAGCAAUGGUUAGGAUCCUCCCUCUGUUUCUGCCCUUUUCUUAAAGCAACCGCCCUGUCUGUUGGGCACUGGCCCUUAAAGUCUACUCGGCUAUCAGGUUUUGUUCCUGAACUCGCUGCAAAUCCAUUUCUAAUUGCGCCAAUGCCAUGUAACAAUGCUCUCUUUCAACCUUGAAUUCUUUCGCCUGUUUGAUCAUUUUGUUCUCUAUGACGAUGACCCUUUUCUUUAAUCCCGUGACUUCAUUAUCGUACUCUUCUUUCAACUGCUUAAUCAAGUGUGCUCGUUCCUCCGCGUUUUUAUCCAAUUGCUUUCAAACCCUGGCUAAUUCUCUUUCUCAUAAGGCUACUUUUUCUUUAGCUAAUUUCUUAUUUUCACCUUUAUCGACUGCAGCCUGUAAGCUAUUUUCAAAUUAUUGACCUCAUUAUCGUACUCUUCUUUCAACUGCAUAACCAGACGUGCUCGUUCCUCCGCAUUUUUAGCCAAUUGCUUUCAAACCCCGGCUAAUUCUCUUUCUGCUUUAUUGAGGUAAAAAACUAUGGGCAUUCACUUUUUGCCUCAGAUUAUCUAUAAGAUUUGUGUCUUUGGCACUCCUGAUGGGAUCUUCGACUGCUAUCUUCAUCUUUUGAAUUUGGGCUUGUAAGGCUUCAUUUUCUUUGGUUAAUUUCUUCUUUUCACCUUUAUCGACUGCGGCUUAUAGCUAUUUUCAAAUUGAAGGUCUCGGACCUGCUUUUCCAACUCACCUAUUUUGGCCCUGUAUUCAUUCUCCUUAGCUGACCUGGCCCAUUGUUCUUGUGAUGAUUCAACAAAAUCUUGGAGGUGAGCUCUUUUGGCAGGCCUCCCUGCUACAAUUUCCCUUCUAUACCAAGCAUAAUACCCAGGUGAAACUUUUCUUUAGCUCGAUCUCGUACACAAGUAUUUGCUGCCAAGUAUUGACAUUCGCUCCAGAUCUGGCGGACUCUUGCUUCAGAAAACUGGCCAUCAGGACCAAUCUCAACUACUUGGGUACUAAGAUCCUCAUCGUUUGGCACUAUUUGGCACCUCCCGAGUUGUCUAAAAACCCGAUACGAAGCAUAAGGCUGAAUGCUCUUAAGACCCAUCAAGAGGAAGUGAGGCCCUGAAUGCUUGUAAGACCCAUCAAGAGGAAGUGAGGCCCAGUUGCUCGCAUAUAUAUGAUGUCGUCCACAGGUACCAUCCAAACGUCCACUCUAUUUGACUGGCAGUGAUAGACCGGAAGUAUGAUGUCCAUUCCUUGACCCCUUUAGGCAAGCUAAUCCUGUUAAUCCUCUUAUAAAAUUCCUCUAUGCAUGUUUUCUUUGUUGAACCAUAACUAAUGAAUUGAGGACGAUGGCAUAGAUAUUCGGUCAUCCACAUUUGCAACAACAAAUUGAACCCCUCAAAAAAGUCUCCUCUAGCUUUGCAGGCUGUGAGACAGCGGAAGAUUUCAGCUACUAUCAUGGCACAAGAGUGCUCUUGGCUUAGGUGAGUAAAGUGCUGACAACCCCGGCUAUUUUUAUGUCGAUAUUUCCAUAUUUCCUUGGGAACACCAAAAGCCCUAAGAAGACCACCGUAAAAGCAAAACGUCUAUGUUCCUCCCAUUUUGGCGGUUUCCUUUGCUACAUAUUUUGCUUUCUGGAUUGUUGAACCCUCCUAAGUGGCCAUAUCCCUGGUAUAUAAAGUGCGGAGUACAAAAUCCAGCUGCCAAAUCAGGAUUGUGGACCGUCCUGCUUAUCUUCAGUGAGUCUAAGAAUCUGUGCAUAGCUACGAUUCUAGGGGAAAUCAAAUACUUGUGCCUUAAAGGAACCUCAGCACUCCCAAUGUAUCAGGCUAUUUCCUCUAGGGUCGGGGUGAGUUCAAAAUCUGAAAAAUGGAACACGUUGUGCAGCUCCCAGCAUGUGACCGAUGCCCUUAUGAUGUCUCCCCCAGGCUUAAUCUCCAUCAAAGCAAUAAGACCUUUCAAAUAUUUUUUGACCUCGUCUUUCCCUUCUUCACAUAGAUCAUUCCACCACAGAGGCAACUCCAGAGAGAUUUUGUUCAUAAUGAGAAAGGUUCAUUUUGAAUUAUGCUCAUCCUGCACAUUUGUUAAGGUGAUUUAAUCACUUAUUUUGACCUAAAACAAAAAGAAAAAUUGGUUUUGUAAAUACGGCCUUUCAGCACUUCAGGAAGAAGAUUUUAAAGAUGUGCCAGCUAGCCCAAGGUGGUUGUUCUUGCAAAACAACCUUCUGGCAUCUUUUUGGGGGCAUGCAACUUAUUUUAAAGAAGAAUGGAAUCACCCGACAAAAUUAAAAAAAAUUUUUUGUUGUUUUUGGGCUAUUUUUGCAAAAAGGGAAGUUGAAUCAGAUAGGGGUUACCUACGUAUCUCACAUCAGUUGAGAAUCAAACUAGCGUAGUUCGGGCAGAUUUGACAAAACCAACUAUUUUUGAAAAACUUUCUUUUUCUUUGAUUUUCUAAAAAAAUUGGCACAGUUUUGAUAAUAUUUGGGUAUUGGGUUUUUCGAAACAGGUGACUAACUCACUCAACCCUGACACUAUUAUUCUUUUCUCUUUUUUUCUUUUUCUUUUCAAAUUUCUCCCAUUAUUUACAGGCCGGUCCGCAUGCCGACCGAAGCAAAUAAAUGCAUAAAUAGCAAGUAGGAUGCAUCAGGAUGAUCUUUUCAUUUCAGGUCAGCUGUUCUAGACGGACCCAACCCCUGUGUUGAGUCCCUUAGGUCAAAUACAGGUGAUGCAAGCAAGCGUACCUACUAGGGAUCCGGCAGGAGGUCGAGUUAUUCUAGGUUCAAAACCUGGGUAUAUGUUCUAGACUGUGUACCCGAGCAGACAACUCAAGUCGAGGAUGAGGCUAUGUACCGGGAACCAAAAGGCCAUCCAGAUUAGUAACUUGUCUGACCUCCUUCUUACUUUAAGGUAUGACACUAAUAGAAUAGAGAUACUCGACCAUUUGAGCACAUCCCCGAAGAUGAGAAGAGAAAUGUUUCGUAACAAUUUUAUAUAUACAAUUCAGGUAAUAUCAAAGCAGUAAUGCACUUAGCACGUUAGGAUGAAAUAUGUAGGAAAAUCAGAUAAUAAAUAAAGCCAAGUAUACUAGCUAUUCUAAGCUCGAAUUCUUUAACCAUGAACUGAAGUUCUGGGUUUUCUAUCUCCAGCAGAGUCGCCCGAGCUGUCACACCUCCUCCAACAAAGGAAAAUUGGGCUUUUAGAGCUACUGACUUAUUUCCAAAAAUUGUAUUCAUCGAUUAGUACCAAAAGGAAAAUUUUAGAUCCAUUCAAUUCAUCAAUUUCCAAUUUAAUUCUAAAUUUUACAUUCAGAUCAUAUAUAAGCUAAUGAAUUUCUACAAACAUUUAGAGAAUUCGAUGAUUAAAUUAAUGUAAUCAAGACUUAUAUUGAAACAUCAAAUACAACAAUACUUACUAUACUGAAGUGCUAUUAUUGAUUUCAAAAAAAAAAAUGCUGGAAUUAGAACUGAAUAAUAGAGCCAUUUGCGUAUCUGUUAGACUUAAAACUUAAACGUAAUCUUAACAUUUAAAGCUACAUGACCUACUUUUUCAUAGCAGCAUGAGUGCACAUGUUCAUUAAGAACUCUGCUCCUAACACUUUAGUCUAGCUUAAACUUGAAAUCAACAUGAUAGCCAAACUGAAAUUGAUUAAACUAUAGUUAAGAAAAACAGUCCAUACACUUACAAUUAAUACAAAGGCAGUUGUUCAAAUAACACUACUAAGCUAAGCACCUAAGUCAAAAUAAAUAAUAAAAAAGAAAAAUCGUGGGAAAACAAGUGAUUAUUCAGUAGUGUACUUCAAAUGUGUUCAUACAUGUUGAUCCAAUCUUCGACAUCACUUGAGGCAAAAGAAAAAAUGUACCUGCAAAUGAAAAUAAGGGAGAAGUAAGAGGCCGCAAGUUCAGCAGCAACAAUGUAAUAGGAACAUGCAACUUAAGAUUAGUUUUAAACCCCAAAAAUUGUAUCAAGCAGCCCAGUUAUUAGUUCAGAUGAACAAAAUCAGUAAAACACCCCAAAACAAACUCGAAUGAACCCUAUUAAACUCAACAAUGAUUCCGGGAAAUUCUGAAGCUUCAAUUAACAGCACACAAGGAAAAUAUCAAGCCAUCUUCAACUUUAGAUAGGCUGGAGUUUUAAUUCAGAAGUUGUAGCUUAAGAUCACUCUAAGAAUUUCAAUAGAAUAGUGAUUUUCUAAGGUUUUGGUCGCUUGAAAUUUCUAAUCUCUUUUCCGUGUAUUUUUUAUGCCUUCCACCCUCUAAAAUCUCUCCCGGAUCUGACUUGCAAGGCAAGUUCCUGAUGCCUUUAUAGGCAAUUAGGUAGGGCAACCUUCAGCUUCUAUUUUUACCCUUUUAUCCUUUUAAUUUUCUAUUUUUAGCUAGUUAGUCCCUUAAUUAUUGACUUGUUGGUCAAGUAAUACUAUCAAGUUCUGGAAUUUCAAAUUAAAACCCCAUCUAGAAGGUUCUAGUGGUUUUCAAUUUCAAUUACUGCACUAUUCUAUAUUUGAUUACCUAUAUUACCCCUGAAUUCAUACUAAAAUUACUAACCUAUGUCAAACUAACCCUGACCCUUUUAAACUUGGUCAAAUAACCAUGGUUAAUCAAUCAAGGGCUGGAAACUAUUCAACUAUAACCAAACAAAGCCUAAUUAUCAAUACCCCUAAAUCAAUCUACCAAAAUCUAUCUAACCUAGUUAGAACAUAAAUUAAUGCUAAUUAACAAUGUGUCCUAAGGCUAAAUUUAUUUUUAAAAACUAACAAUUAAAAGCAAGCAAACAAAACUAAUACUAUACUGUGAAAAAUAGCGAAAUAAGCAAAAAAAAUGUAAAGAAAAAAAACAAACUUGGAAUCAUACAAUUAAAAUCAAAAAAACAAUCAAAGCGCUAACAAUGAAAACUAAAUUAAACUAUAUGGCUGUAAAAUCAGAACCCUAAAUCAAAUCCCCAACUCAAACGCAAAAAGAAAAUAAAAAUAAAAAGAAAUUAUAAGUAAAAAUAGAAGAAUGAAAAAUAACCAUCAUGAAUGAACAUAAAAACAGAAAACAUGGUGAAAAAAUGAAAUACCUCGGAAUUUCGGCUUGGACUCGAACACUGGUAUAUUUUCUUGGAUUUAAUCGGACUACAACCAUCCCUAAUCAGGUGUUUUCAUGAGAAAACACAUGAUUAAGGGCUGCUAUAGUCCAUAAAUCAAUACCCCCCCCCCNNNNNNNNNNNNNNNNNNNNNNNNNNNNNNNNNNNNNNNNNNNNNNNNNNNNNNNNNNNNNNNNNNNNNNNNNNNNNNNNNNNNNNNNNNNNNNNNNNNNNNNNNNNNNNNNNNNNNNNNNNNNNNNNNNNNNNNNNNNNNNNNNNNNNNNNNNNNNNNNNNNNNNNNNNNNNNNNNNNNNNNNNNNNNNNNNNNNNNNNNNNNNNNNNNNNNNNNNNNNNNNNNNNNNNNNNNNNNNNNNNNNNNNNNNNNNNNNNNNNNNNNNNNNNNNNNNNNNNNNNNNNNNNNNNNNNNNNNNNNNNNNNNNNNNNNNNNNNNNNNNNNNNNNNNNNNNNNNNNNNNNNNNNNNNNNNNNNNNNNNNNNNNNNNNNCAAUUUUGAGAAGCUAGGGUUUCAAGCCAAAAUUUGAUCUAAGAUUCGGUCCAUGCGAGGAUGAUUCGAAGGCUACGGGUAGUGAUUCAGAAAGAGGGGGUGAGGAGGUCAUAUAGUGUUAAUUUGGUGAGACUUGGAGGUGGCACCGCCGGACACGGCGGAGCCAACGGCCACGAUUUCGAAUAUUCGACCACUUUGGCUAGGAUUUAAAGGAAACUAGACUUGGAUUUGAAAAGAAGAGGUGAAUGAGAAGGUAGAGUGUAAUUUUGGGGUAAUUUGGAGACUCGCCGCCGGUGGCGGACGGCGGAAGGACGAUGGUGCUAGGGUUUCUGGUGAGAGGGGACUAAGACAAUUAGGGCAGUGGGUUCUAGGGGGGUGGUGCUGCUUGGAUAAUAAUAUAUCAACCAACCCUCAGUUCCUGACCGUUCGAUUAAAGAACCUAGACAGUCAGGAUCAAAAUGCCCCAAAUGAUGUCGUUUUAAUGUUCGGGGGCUAUACCAGGUGAGAUUGGGUUUGGACCGGGUUUUGAACGGGUCUAGAGAAGGGAUUAGAAUGGGCUGGAUCAAAUUGGGCCGAAAAACCGGGUAUUUAAUGAGAUUGCCAUUUUUCUUUUAAUUUUAAUUUUUUAAAUUUUCUCUACUUUUCUUGUAUAUUAUUUUUAUUAUUUAUAUUUUUUGAUUUUGUUAAAUACAAAAUUAAAAUAAUAAAGACCUGAUGUAACUCUAAAAUUAAACUAAUUGAUUUUAAAUGUUUUUUAACUAAAUCCUAUUUUUAAAAGAAAACUAAGCAAAAUAUCAAAAAAAAAAUAUUAAAAGUAAAAUGCAAAAGGACUAUUUUUGGUUAUUUUCUUAUAUUUUUUGUAAUGUUAAUUAACAAAUAAACCUAAAAAUAUUAAAAUAAGGUCCUAAAUGCAGAUGUGCUUUUAUUGUAUUUUUAUGAAUAUAUCAAAACAUAAAUGCAAACAAAUACAAAAUCAUGCAAUUAAUUCCCUAAAAUUAAAUAGUUAAAAAAAUUCCUAAUUUCUAUGAAUUCUAUAGAAGUAAUUUAAGCGAGGCAAAAAUCAUGUGGUCAUAGUACCUUUUCUUGAACUAGAGGUUCCUUUUCUUAAAGGUCUUCGUCUAGAAGUAAAGAACCUUCUGAGCCCUUACGUGAGCCUUUGGUUGAAGAGAUAUUUCCAACAGAGCUAUCUUUUUACCAUGAUAAGGAAUCUCUUAGAAACCAAGUCGCUACCUUAGAUCGUGUCAAUUCCUUUCCAACUCAAAUUACAGAAAUUUUAGCUCUCAUAGUUCGUAAAGACUGUCACUGGAGCGGUGAUUUUUCCAUUAUUAUUCCCAAUCCAAAUAGAGUAUUACUCUUUACAUGAUUGGAUUCUCAUUUGUUUAUACAUACCCUUUCACUUUAGGGUUCAAACUAGUCAUCGACCCGGUCAUUCUAGAUUUUUUUCCGUUUUUCAAUGUCUGCUUGGGUCAGAUUGGUCCAAUUGUAUGGAGGGCGGUUGCCUAUUUGGGGCAUCUUGCCAAUAUGGCAAAUGUUAGCUUUACUUUCCCUCACCUAAUUCACCUCUAUUCCUCCAGGCUUUUCCGCAAUGGCAUUUUUACCCUAGCAAUCAGGAGCAAGAGGGUUUUAGUGUG
Molecule: long non-coding RNA, 14044 nt
Filed under: Nicotiana benthamiana
Lineage: Eukaryota; Viridiplantae; Streptophyta; Magnoliopsida; Solanales; Solanaceae
Description: long non-coding RNA (NBEN_LNC029744)
Source: RNAcentral